CUUGUACCAUUUGUGCAGAAAAUUCAGUUUUCACGCAAGAAGAUUUUCAGAAGUUUGAUUAUGAGACCUUCACACAAUCCCCAAUGUCUGACAAGGUAUGUUUUCCCUCUGUAUUGAGAUUCUGGUUUGCUUUUAAUACUUGAGAGGGCUUCAGAACACUGACUUCAUAGUUUGUCUUUAAUGCGAUCGGCAUUUUGUGUAAACAAAGGGAGCUAUGAAUUGCAUGUUUCGACUAUUUUCUUGUUACUCUAAUCACGUGUGAGUUACAGAGUAGAACUCUAAUGCUAGCUUAGCACUUAGUGUUUAGCAAGUGUUAUAGGAAAUGCUCAUGGCACUGCAAACCAACUGGGUUUCCCUACUUGGCAAUUUUUGGCUAAUCCAUUGUCCCAUACACAAAUGUGGAGUGAUAGUCCAGUACAGAUGUGCAGUGAAAACAUUUAACGAGCACCCUCUAGUAGCUCUACAACCUGAGUUGGAAUAUGGGUAUGUGAGUACUGAGCAGUCCAAGUCCAGUUUUUUUUCUUUUUCGGUAGAGCCUGCGUGUCACAUGGAAUGGCCACCAUUGAUAACCAGCUUACACAGUAAGCAAGCUGAAUGCCAUGUUGCCAGUAAGUCCUUACAUGGAAUUCAUAAUUCUUUAGGGCUUCUCUAGUUUCCUGAAAACAAAGGUGCAGUGCCAAACAAAAUAAUAUUCCCUCCAUCCCAAAAUAAGUGUCGUUGAUUUAGUGUACUAAAUCAGCGACACUUAUUUUGGGACGGAGGGAGUACUAAACUAGUUUCUUCUGGAUCACUUAGUUCUUGUUCCAGGUUGUGAAGCUAUGACAUUUCACAUAUUGUUAUGAUUAAUGCAGACGGCACCGAGCCUGAACCUGCUACCAGAAAGUGCCCGCAUCACUUGUACAGAGUACAAAGGGCUGAUCGACAAGGGGGAACCUCACGUGCUGUUGGAUGUACGGCCUGCUCAUCAUUUCCAAAUAGUUUCACUUUCCCGGUCUCUGAACAUACCACUCUCCGUUCUGGAGGAGAAGCUGCCUAUGCUCGAGACCUCAAUGAAGGAAACUAUGGAUGCCUCCGCCACCUCAGAUAAACAGCCUUCCUUGUACGUUGUCUGCAGAAGAGGCAACGACUCACAGAGCGCUGUCCAGCUUCUCCGCGAGAAGGGCUUUCACUCCACCAAGGACAUAGUCGGUGGCCUGCAGUCUUGGGCACAUGACGUCGAUCCUGAUUUCCCCGCAUACUAGCGAAGUACAUUUUGGGCUUAUUGCCGAAGUUCCAGCCUUAAUACUGGACAUGAACGUCCAGCUUGAGACCGUUGUUUUGUGUGGCGUUGCUUACUUGAGCUAUCUUGUAAUUUGUUGCUGUAAGUCUAGAACUCCGGAUUGCUACCUCCAAAGAUCUGGUGGAGUUGUAGUAAGACACUGCAGCAGGUAUACAGGCGCGAGGCGCCUUGGUGAAGUUUCUGUGAAAGGUGUUUCCUGUAAACUUCCGGUUGUCAUCGUCGAGGAGUAUUACUGUUGUCAUUAUGCCUGAAGUGAGGCGUUCCUGGCUGUUUUUGUUGCCAUCCCUGAUGGUUUCUAGCCGUCAUGGAGACCAUUUA
This 1597-nucleotide long non-coding RNA is filed under the name Triticum aestivum (bread wheat). RNAcentral's name for it is "long non-coding RNA (TAES_LNC014223)". Lineage: Eukaryota; Viridiplantae; Streptophyta; Magnoliopsida; Poales; Poaceae. The record is from RNAcentral.